RNAcentral lists this ribosomal RNA (206 nucleotides) under uncultured bacterium. Its description in RNAcentral is "partial 16S ribosomal RNA". It matches the Rfam family "Bacterial small subunit ribosomal RNA", at positions 568 to 774 of the family's 1533-position model. The record is from RNAcentral.
UGCGUAGGUGGUAUGGCAAGUCAGAAGUGAAAACCCAGGGCUUAACUCUGGGACUGCUUUUGAAACUGUCAGACUGGAGUGCAGGAGAGGUAAGCGGAAUUCCUAGUGUAGCGGUGAAAUGCGUAGAUAUUAGGAGGAACAUCAGUGGCGAAGGCGGCUUACUAGACUGAAACUGACACUGAGGCACGAAAGCGUGGGAGCAAACA